UAAUUAUGAAAGUUUAUAUUCAUUUAAUGACUGUGAAUCUGAACACACCGAAAGAUUAGUUUUUCAUAACAUAAAAAAUAUUUUAUACAAUUUUUCAGACACAAUAAAUCAAAUUGAAUUAUUAUAUCCAAAAAAUUAUUACAUUACUAUUUUCCCUAAUAUUUAUUUUAAGAACAUAAUUGACUUUUUAAAAAGUGAACAUUUUAAAUUAAUAAAAAUUGUUAUAGUACUAAAAGGUAAAAAUUAUAUUGAUGAAGAUAUGAUUAACUAUAUUAAAAACAAUCUAGAGAAUUUUAAAGGAAUCACAACUGAAAAUGUUAAAAAGGAUGUGCAAAAAAGGUACAAUAAUAUGUUCAACCAAAACAGUAACGGUACCAAAUAUAAUAAUAGAGACAAUAACAUGUAUAACAGUACAAGUGAAAAUAAACGGGAUACAAAAACUGUAUUAUCUGCUCUAAAAAAAUGUUACAAAAAUGGAAAUAAGUAUGUGUCUUCAAUUGAUCGACUCACUGGUGGAAAUACAAUUAGUGAAAUUAAAUCCAAAAUUCAAAACAAACAGGACGGACAUAACGGGCAGAACAAACAGAACGAACGAAACGAUAAAAACAAAUGUAAUAUUCCAAACAAAAAUGAAUGUCCAAAAAAACUAAAAAUAUGUGACAACUUUGCCAGUGUUCAUAAUAUUAGUAGUAUAGAACAAGGCGAGUUGGUAAAACAGUCGAGCGAAGAAAGCAUAAAAGUAAAUAUGUUAGGAACACACCAAACUAGUUUUAACUAUGAGUGUGGUGAAUGGGAAGGUAUCACUACGGAUAAUAAAGUCAGUGAUGCGCAGAUUGUCACCCACAAAAAGCCAAACAAUCACGACAAACCAGACCUACAUGGAAAAAUUAACGAAAAUGUACCAAUCAAUAAACUUAAAAAAAUCGAAUUUGUUGACAUGAUUAUAAAAGAAAAUAAAUUUAAGAAUGUUAAUAAAAUUGAAAAGGUAAAUAAAAUAGUUACUUUUGAUAUGCUUGAUCAGGUUAUAAAUGGAAAGGAAUUUGGUUGUGGAAACACAUAUGAGAACACUGCUAACAUAAAAAGUGAAGUAAUCAAAAAUAAUAAUAAACAUGAUGACUAUCAUUAUGAUGAUAGUUACUAUUAUGAUAACCCGUCACUUGAAUUAAAAAACAGCAUUGAUAACAUUGCUCACAUAUGUAAUACGGAUACAUCAUUAUAUAAAAAAUAUUAUGAAGAUAGCAAUAUUAUGCAAGAAAAAAGACAGUUACCUAUUAUAGAUGUCCAGAAAAAAGAAUGUGUUAAAACUAAUAGCGUUAAUAUUAAUAAAAAUAGAAGUAGUAACAAUAGCAGUAAUAACAACAACCAUAGUAGCAGUAACAAUUACAAUAACAGCAGUAACCACGUGGAUCAGUUUUCUGAAUCUUCUUAUGGAGAAAAUGAUGAGUCAGAUGACGAAAAUGUAGAUGGUUUUUUCAAAACAAAAAAAUUAAAGGAUACAGUAUAUGAUAAUAAUAAUUUUUCUUUUACCAAUUUUAUGAAUAAACUAAUAAAUUAUGAAAAAAUAAUUAAUUACAUAAACCAUGAUCAGCAACGGCAAGAAAACGAGCAAUCGAAAAUAAAAUUUUAUAUUAAAGUAUUAGUUUUUGAGAAAUCGAACACACCACCUUAUGAUGAUAGUAGUAAUAAUAUAUAUAGAACUGGUUCUGCUGCCACUACUACACCCACUACUACAUCUGGUACUGAUACCACUACUAACAUAAUGCAAAGUAUCACAACACUUACUGGUGAUCAUAUAUCAAAUACAAUCAAUACCAAUGAUGGGCCUAUUGUGCAGGAUAAUGUUAGUACCAUAAACGUAAAUGAUGAUGAAACAAGAGGAAUUAAUAAUAAUAAUAAUAAUAAUGAAUCUAGUCAAGGAAAUGAAUACCAAGGUCUUAUUACAUCAUUGUUUUAUGGUAACAUAGUUAGCAAUAUUACUAACAGUAUUAAUGGUACUAGUACUGGUAAUAGUGCCGAAAAUGACUCCAAUCGUAGGUACAGUUUUUUUUCCAGUGAAUUAAACCAUGAUGACACACGUCCAAAUAAUAUACAACAAGACAACUCUGCAUAUGUAGGAACAAGUACUAACGAAGAGAAUACAUCUUACUAUAUUAGUAAUUUAAUUAGAAAUAUUAAAGAGACAUAUGAUAAUACAAAUUUUUUAUCAUUUGCUAGUUAUGAAGAAGAUCAAGAAGACCAAGAAGACCAAGAAGACCAAGAAGGACAAGAAAAACAAGAAGAGCAUGAAGAACAAGACCAAGAAAAAAUACAUGGUUUGGACUUUGAUAACGUAGAAGAUUCAGUAACUUAUGUGACAUUCAAUUUUAAUUAGUUAUGUUUACCCGCGUUCGUUUGUUUACAUGCAUUCGUUUGUUUAUACCCUUUCGUUUAUUGCAUACGUCCGCUUGGAUAUUAAUAAAAAAAAAAAAAAAUAAUCUUACCA
Molecule: long non-coding RNA, 2482 nt
Organism: Piliocolobus tephrosceles (Ugandan red Colobus)
Lineage: Eukaryota; Metazoa; Chordata; Mammalia; Primates; Cercopithecidae
Source: Ensembl